RNAcentral lists this ribosomal RNA (227 nucleotides) under uncultured fungus. RNAcentral describes it as "partial 18S ribosomal RNA". It matches the Rfam family "Eukaryotic small subunit ribosomal RNA", at positions 1045 to 1272 of the family's 1831-position model. Lineage: Eukaryota; Fungi. The record is from RNAcentral.
ACUAGGGAUCGGGCGAUGUUAUUUUUUGACUCGCUCGGCACCUUACGAGAAAUCAAAGUUUAAGGGUUCUGGGGGGAGUAUGGUCGCAAGGCUGAAACUUAAAGAAAUUGACGGAAGGGCACCACCAGGAGUGGAGCCUGCGGCUUAAUUUGACUCAACACGGGGAAACUCACCAGGUCCAGACACAAUAAGGAUUGACAGAUUGAGAGCUCUUUCUUGAUUGUGGG